Molecule: long non-coding RNA, 1247 nt
Filed under: Rhinopithecus bieti (black snub-nosed monkey)
Lineage: Eukaryota; Metazoa; Chordata; Mammalia; Primates; Cercopithecidae
Description: lncRNA (ENSRBIG00000046248.1)
Source: RNAcentral
ACCCCCGCCUUCUCUGGAUUUUAAAGACUGUGUAGGAGGAGAAAUUGGGGACGGAGUUCCCCUGGUUAAUUCAUUUAUCGUAAGUUCCCGUAACCAAACUAGGCCCUCAGUUGAGGCCUUAGACCUUCAAAGUUCUUUCCGCUUCGUACACUGAGAUAAGAAUCCCUGAAAAGAAGCUGCUUGCCCUCCCCGGCUUACCAUCCUUGGGCACUCAGCAGUGCGGGGAUGCGGCUGCCCUAUUUCCCGCGUAGAAACAACUGCAGGUGGCGCCGCCCGCUGAAGAGUGCAGAACUGUGGCCCUGAGCCAAGCUGGGGCAAAUAUGGAAGACGCGGGAUGAGAGAGGGUGGGGCGAAAGGACGCUAUGAGGAUUCCUGGAGGCAGGGACCAGAGCAGAGGCGGUGAGUGGCAGGAGGAGGCAAAUGUCCCCGCGACGGGGAACUUUAUCGGGUUGAAGUUCCCUCUGCCGUCGCCUCCUGCUCGCGAGCAUAGCUGAGCCUGGUGUGCGGCCUUUCUGGAAAGCAGGUCGCCACCCUCCUGGGCGUGGGACUCCGGCCCGCAAGGAGCCUCGGGGACUCACGCAUGGCCGCGCCUGAAUCUGGCUACGCAUUGCGACUCUGCCGCGCAUGCGCAGCUCCGUCCCCUUCAGAGGCGCGCGUGUGCUCGUGGAGGCGGCGCUUCCUCCAAAAGUAAAGCCAGAAGCGCUCAGGCCUAGAUUGCCUCCCUGCGACCUUUCCUACAGACUGGUGCAUAGUAUUUUUAAAACAUCAGCGAGGACGACGUCUUCUCUGCGAGUCUGGGGAGGGGGCAAAACCAGGGGAAGAGCCGCCGCCGCGCCGCCGUCGCUCUCCAACGCCAGCGCCGCCUCUCGCUCGCCGAGCUCCAGCCGAAGGAAAUAGCGGGGGAAAUGAACUCCUCAUAUAGGCUAUAUUGAAUAGUAAUAAUGGUCACCUGAAGUUGUUGGUGUUUGGCCUCCCCUGGAAGCAAGAUAUCUGUAUGAAAGACCCACACCUAAGAAGUAAUACUGACAAAUGUCAGACAUUUGAUUGGCACAUUAUCUGAGCAGAGGGAUUAGAGAAAGUUCUAAGAAUCUAUGACUCAUCUAUUCCGUACAAUCAAAAUCCAAAUCAUAACUGUUAAUGUCUUUGUAAAUGAGUCAGACCUACUGUGUGGUUCAGAGACUUUUCAUUUUAUGUUGAUUUCUAAGAAUUGCAAAGUUUAAGCCUCCUUGACUUUUACAAGCGUAGAA